UACGUAGGGAGCAAGCGUUGUCCGGAAUCAUUGGGCGUAAAGCGCGCGUAGGCGGCCUCGUAAGUCCGUUGUGAAAACUCGAGGCUCAACCUCGAGACGCCGGUGGAAACCGUAAAGCUAGAGUCCGGAAGAGGAGAGUGAAUUCCUGGUGUAGCGGUGAAAUGCGCAGAUAUCGGGAAGAACACCCGUGGCGAAGGCGGCUCUCUGGGACGGUACUGACGCUGAGACGCGAAAGCGUGGGGAGCGAACAGG
This 252-nucleotide ribosomal RNA is filed under the name uncultured bacterium. Its description in RNAcentral is "partial 16S ribosomal RNA". It matches the Rfam family "Bacterial small subunit ribosomal RNA", at positions 524 to 776 of the family's 1533-position model. The record is from RNAcentral.